RNAcentral lists this ribosomal RNA (253 nucleotides) under uncultured bacterium. RNAcentral's name for it is "partial 16S ribosomal RNA". It matches the Rfam family "Bacterial small subunit ribosomal RNA", at positions 524 to 776 of the family's 1533-position model. The record is from RNAcentral.
UACGGAGGGGGCUAGCGUUGUUCGGAAUUACUGGGCGUAAAGGGUUCGUAGGUGGCUUGUUAAGUCAGACGUGAAAUCCCUCGGCUCAACCGGGGAACUGCGUCUGAGACUGAUGAGCUCGAGUGCAGGAGAGGAACGCGGAAUUCCAGGUGUAGCGGUGAAAUGCGUAGAUAUCUGGAGGAACACCGGUGGCGAAGGCGGCGUUCUGGACUGCAACUGACACUGAGGAACGAAAGCCAGGGGAGCAAACGGG